Molecule: small nucleolar RNA, 107 nt
Organism: Panicum virgatum (switchgrass)
Lineage: Eukaryota; Viridiplantae; Streptophyta; Magnoliopsida; Poales; Poaceae
Source: RefSeq, a predicted model, not a curated record
AUGCCGUGGUGUGGGCAUGCUUGUAUGUACUCCUGAAGACGUUCCCAGACUUCUAGGAUAGUCUCAUCUAGUAAUUGUUGAAUUCCGGUAAUCGUGUUCCGGAGGGC